Molecule: ribosomal RNA, 253 nt
Filed under: uncultured bacterium
Lineage: Bacteria
Description: partial 16S ribosomal RNA
Rfam family: Bacterial small subunit ribosomal RNA
Source: RNAcentral
UACGUAGGGUGCAAGCGUUAAUCGGAAUUACUGGGCGUAAAGCGUGCGCAGGCGGUUCUAUAAGACAGAUGUGAAAUCCCCGGGCUCAACCUGGGAACUGCAUUUGUGACUGUAGAGCUGGAGUACGGCAGAGGGGGAUGGAAUUCCGCGUGUAGCAGUGAAAUGCGUAGAUAUGCGGAGGAGCACCGAUGGCGAAGGCAAUCCCCUGGGCCUGUACUGACGCUCAUGCACGAAAGCGUGGGGAGCAAACAGG